CUUGGAGAGCAACUAAAAAAUGCAUGAAGGAUUUUCGUUUGUCAUUCUGGUAAAUUGCUUUUGUCGACUUAACAAACAUUCCCCGGUGUUAUCUGUACAGCAGCGCCAGAAGGAUGGUGCGUGGCUGGAGCACACAGAUAGGAACAGCAC
This is a long non-coding RNA of Lutra lutra (Eurasian river otter), 150 nucleotides long. RefSeq lists it as uncharacterized. NCBI's taxonomy places the organism in Eukaryota, Metazoa, Chordata, Mammalia, Carnivora, Mustelidae. The transcript is spliced from 3 exons. The record is from RefSeq and is a predicted model, not a curated record.